UGAGCAAUCUGCCCUUCUCUUCGGAAUAAGCGUUGGAAACGACGUCUAAUGCCGAAUACGACCUCCUUUCGCAUGAUCGGAGGUGGAAAGCUCCGGCGGAGAAGGAUGAGCUCGCGGCCUAUCAGCUAGUUGGUGUGGGUAAUGGCCCACCAAGGCGACGACGGGUAGCCGGCCUGAGAGGGUGAUCGGCCACACUGGGACUGAGACACGGCCCAGACCUCCGUACGGGAGCAG
This 234-nucleotide ribosomal RNA is filed under the name uncultured bacterium. RNAcentral's name for it is "partial 16S ribosomal RNA". It matches the Rfam family "Bacterial small subunit ribosomal RNA", at positions 118 to 347 of the family's 1533-position model. The record is from RNAcentral.